This 497-nucleotide ribosomal RNA is filed under the name uncultured bacterium. RNAcentral describes it as "partial 16S ribosomal RNA". It matches the Rfam family "Bacterial small subunit ribosomal RNA", at positions 28 to 507 of the family's 1533-position model. The record is from RNAcentral.
GAUGAACGCUGGCGGCGUGCCUAAUACAUGCAAGUCGAGCGAACGGACGAGAAGCUUGCUUUUCUGAUGUUAGCGGCGGACGGGUGAGUAACACGUGGAUAACCUACCUAUAAGACCGGGAUAACUUCGGGAAACCGGAGCUAAUACCGGAUAAUAUUUUGAACCGCAUGGUUCAAAAGUGAAAGACGGUCUUGCUGUCACUUAUAGAUGGAUCCGCGCUGCAUUAGCUAGUUGGUAAGGUAACGGCUUACCAAGGCAACGAUGCAUAGCCGACCUGAGAGGGUGAUCGGCCACACUGGAACUGAGACACGGUCCAGACUCCUACGGGAGGCAGCAGUAGGGAAUCUUCCGCAAUGGGCGAAAGCCUGACGGAGCAACGCCGCGUGAGUGAUGAAGGUCUUCGGAUCGUAAAACUCUGUUAUUAGGGAAGAACAUAUGUGUAAGUAACUGUGCACAUCUUGACGGUACCUAAUCAGAAAGCCACGGCUAGCUACGUG